Long non-coding RNA from Oryzias melastigma (Indian medaka), 1478 nucleotides. RefSeq lists it as uncharacterized. Lineage: Eukaryota; Metazoa; Chordata; Actinopteri; Beloniformes; Adrianichthyidae. The transcript has 3 exons. The record is from RefSeq and is a predicted model, not a curated record.
CGCCAAACGCCAGCGACUCCAUUGUUCUGCGGUGAAAUAUGGACGCAGAGACUCCCUUUACAUUCGGGCGAUCAUCACUUACUGUGAAAUAUCGAGGCAGUGCCAUCCAAAGAUCAUUUUUCACUUUGCAUCAUUCACUUCAGUUGCUUCUAAUAAAAGCAGGAGUUCAGAGAUUUUUUUGUCCCAGUGGCAGCUGUUGUGAAUUUGUCAUCUGUGCAGCUGAAACGGGAGACUGAGGAACUUUGGACCAAAGAAAAGACCUCUCUAUUGUGUCUUUGCUGUUUGUUUUUGGUGAUUUAAUGUUACUGAGUUAAGUGCUUUCUGAUCUUUGUGGUUUGAGCUUUAAUAAAGGAAAAUGUUUUGGCGGUGCUGAAAGGAUGGAAGAAAGAGAUGCUCGAUACAGAGACUAUUUUUAUGUUUGUUUUGGAAAAUGAAGCGGAAUUUGCGGACCUGCCUGUACAAGUGCUUAAGCUAUGAUAGCACCGCCCUCUACAACACAGGUUUAAGCGUCCACUUUUGGUAAAAAGUCAAUGUAAAUGCAUGUUUUGCACUAUCUUCACAUGCCCAAUAUAACGUAGUGUGUCAAUAAAUAUGACAGGACCAUUCAAGUGUGUACCUCAAAGAAAGACUGCAAAAAACUAACAUUAUUAUAACUGAAAAAAUAAUGUAUUUUUUAUUUUUUAGCUUUUGUAAAUGCUAAUAUUACAAAACUUCUAAAAGGCUUUAAGACUUAAGAGCUUAUAUUUAUAUGAGGGGGUGGAAAACUCCAGGCCACAAGGGGCGUUGUGUUUGCAUGUUGUCCAAAUCUCUUGGCCCUUCUCAUGGCUGAUUACCUGAGUCAGGUGUGUCCAUCCAAUUAGAACAUGGCAGAACGGGGAAUGCUGGGAAAAAAAGAAAAAAAAAGAAACACAGUCCUCAGUCCUGAUUUAUUAUUGAUCAUGUGUUCUUGGGGUCCUGACUCACCUGUCUUCACUGCACCUGCUGAGCAAUUUUAGAGCAGCUGACAGACUUGACUGAGUGAGCAGCAUGGAGAUCACAAGAGCAGAGGAGGUUGUGAUUUGUCUGCGUCAAGUUUUAAACACAAAAACAUAAAGUAGAGAGCUGGCUGCUUGGCUGCAUGGUCGUGUGGAGCAGCUGAGGAGUUUCUCUGCCCUGAGGGAGAUGCUCACAGGUGACCAGAGGAAGCUGAAGGUGUUUUAACAAAAGACAUAUCUGCUUGUUGUCUGAUCUUCACCAUCUCUGCCUUUGAUGGAACAAUUGUUUGUGGGGUCAGAGUUCACGUCCUUGCUUUUAAAGCCCUCAUGAAUCUGGGAACAGGACCAGAGAAACGUGGCUUUCUGCUCACAGGAGGACGUAAGGAUUCUGCCUUUCAUGCAGCGACUCCGCCGAGCGCUCGCGGCCUCGUUGGCCCCGCGCAUUUCUGUGCAGCCGAAUGUUUGCAGCUUCUUUGAACGAUAUUCGUUAAAAAAGAAUAAAAG